RNAcentral lists this long non-coding RNA (997 nucleotides) under Homo sapiens (human). RNAcentral's name for it is "HSALNT0357310". Lineage: Eukaryota; Metazoa; Chordata; Mammalia; Primates; Hominidae. The record is from RNAcentral.
AAAAGUAGCGCUGCAGCCGACCGAACCGCGUCCUCCCGCCCCGUCCUCCCCUCCCCCACGCCGGGACGGCCUCCCGGGGGAGGCCCCGAGGAAAAAAAUCCAGGCUCGAACUCCGCCCCCUGCCGGCCGCCAGCAGGAGUGAAGCGCCACAAUCCAACAAUGAAAUGGAACCGGGGAGGGGCGGCGGGAAGGUGCGGGUCAGGGGGCGGGGCCUAGGGAUAGGGAGAAGGAAGGUCAGGGGGCGGGGCCAAGAGGAGGAACUAGCCUGGAGGUGGGGCGGAAGGUAGGGGCGGGGGCAAGGCUGGAAACCGGAAGCUGCCCGUGCCGCGCCGCGCGUGCGCCAGAAAUCCAAUGACUUGUCAGCCAGAGUAACGGCUGUUGUCAGGUCUUCAGGGUCUCGAGGUCGGUUUCUUCCUAACGCCGCCAACCCCAAGCUAAGGUAGACAUGAUCGCCAAGGCAGCUGAUUGUCCCAAGGAAUAAGUAUGAGCAAUGAGCACAGAGGGAAAAUCAUGAAACAUCUGAGGACCAUGAGAACUGCUAAAACAAUACGUAGAACUAGCUAUACCAGAGAAAGUCAAGUGAAUGGAUCAGACAAUAAGAAUUGAAAAUAAGCUUAAUAGAGCUUCAGAGAAAGAAGGGAGAAUGUUGGAAACACAAAGCACAAACAAGCAUUUGUGAAUUGGAUGUUGACAAAUAUUAAUGAAAUAACUCAAUGGAUGGGUUGAAUAUAGCUGGACAGUUCACUCAUGAACCGGAAGAUUAGAGCAAGGAAGGAACUAAGAAAUGGAAAGCAUGAAAGGAGAGUUAAGAAAUGUGGAAGGUAGAAGCAUAAAUAUUUUUCUAAUGGAAAUUCCAGAAGGGGAAAAAAAGAACAUGUGAAAGAAUUAUUGCUGAGAAUUUCCCAGAAUUGAAGACAUACUUUAGAAUGAAAAAGGCCAACUCUAACUUUGGGAUUUCUAGCUUCAGAGAAAUGAAAAUUUAGAAUGACCAAGGGGA